CGAACGGGUGAGUAACGCGUGAGGAACCUGCCUCAAAGAGGGGGACAACAGUUGGAAACGACUGCUAAUACCGCAUAAGCCCACGGCUCGGCAUCGAGCAGAGGGGAAAGGAGCAAUCCGCUUUGAGAUGGCCUCGCGUCCGAUUAGCUAGUUGGUGAGGUAACGGCCCACCAAGGCGACGAUCGGUAGCCGGACUGGGAGGUUGAACGGCCACAUUGGGACUGAGACACGGACCAA
RNAcentral lists this ribosomal RNA (237 nucleotides) under uncultured bacterium. RNAcentral describes it as "partial 16S ribosomal RNA". It matches the Rfam family "Bacterial small subunit ribosomal RNA", at positions 99 to 334 of the family's 1533-position model. The record is from RNAcentral.